GUCCACGCCGUAAACGUUGGGCGCUAGAUGUGGGGACCAUUUCACGGUUUCCGUGUCGCAGCUAACGCAUUAAGCGCCCCGCCUGGGGAGUACGGCCGCAAGGCUAAAACUCAAAGGAAUUGACGGGGGCCCGCACAAGCGGCGGAGCAUGCGGAUUAAUUCGAUGCAACGCGAAGAACCUUACCAAGGCUUGACAUAUACGAGAACGGGCCAGAAAUGGUCAACUCUUUGGACACUCGUAAACAGGUGGUGCAUGGUUGUCGUCAGCUCGUGUCGUGAGAUGUUGGGUUAAGUCCCGCAACGAGCGCAACCCUCGUUCUAUGUUGCCAGCGCGUAAUGGCGGGAACUCAUAGGAGACUGCCGGGGUCAACUCGGAGGAAGGUGGGGAUGACGUCAAAUCAUCAUGCCCCUUAUGUCUUGGGCUUCACGCAUGCUACAAUGGCCGGUACAAAGGGCUGCAAUACCGCAAGGUGGAGCGAAUCCCAAAAAGCCGGUCUCAGUUCGGAUUGAGGUCUGCAACUCGACCUCAUGAAGUCGGAGUCGCUAGUAAUCGCAGAUCAGCAACGCUGCUGUGAAUACGUUCCCGGGCCUUGUACACACCGCCCGUCAAG
Molecule: ribosomal RNA, 611 nt
Filed under: Leifsonia sp.
Lineage: Bacteria; Bacillati; Actinomycetota; Actinomycetes; Micrococcales; Microbacteriaceae
Description: bacterial SSU rRNA
Rfam family: Bacterial small subunit ribosomal RNA
Source: RNAcentral